This 460-nucleotide ribosomal RNA is filed under the name uncultured bacterium. RNAcentral describes it as "partial 16S ribosomal RNA". It matches the Rfam family "Bacterial small subunit ribosomal RNA", at positions 338 to 795 of the family's 1533-position model. The record is from RNAcentral.
CCUACGGGUGGCAGCAGUGAGGAAUAUUGGUCAAUGGACGAGAGUCUGAACCAGCCAAGUAGCGUGAAGGAUGACUGCCCUAUGGGUUGUAAACUUCUUUUAUAAAGGAAUAAAACGAGGCACGUGUGCCUUUUUGCAUGUACUUUAUGAAUAAGGAUCGGCUAACUCCGUGCCAGCCGCCGCGGUAAUACGGAGGAUCCGAGCGUUAUCCGGAUUUAUUGGGUUUAAAGGGAGCGUAGAUGGGUUGUUAAGUAAGUUGUGAAAGUUUGCGGCUCAACCGUAAAAUUGCAAUUGAUACUGGCAGUCUUGAGUACAGUUGAGGUAGGCGGAAUUCGUGGUGUAGCGGUGAAAUGCUUAGAUAUCACGAAGAACCCCGAUUGCGAAGGCAGCUUACUAAACUGUGACUGACAUUGAUGCUCGAAAGUGUGGGUAUCAAACAGGAGUAGAUACCCGGGUAGUC